GACGAACGCUGGCGGCGUGCUUAACACAUGCAAGUCGAACGGAAAGGCCCUGCUUUUGUGGGGUGCUCGAGUGGCGAACGGGUGAGUAACACGUGAGUAACCUGCCCUUGACUUUGGGAUAACUUCAGGAAACUGGGGCUAAUACCGGAUAGGAGCUCCUGCUGCAUGGUGGGGGUUGGAAAGUUUCGGCGGUUGGGGAUGGACUCGCGGCUUAUCAGCUUGUUGGUGGGGUAGCGGCUUACCAAGGCUUUGGCGGGUAGCCGGCCUGAGAGGGUGACCGGCCACAUUGGGACUGGGAUACGGCCCAGACUCCUACGGGAGGAAGCAGUGGGGAAUAUUGCACAAUGGGCGGAAGCCUGAUGCAGCAACGCCGCGUGCGGGAUGACGGCCUUCGGGUUGUAAACCGCUUUCGCCUGUGACGAAGCGUGAGUGACGGUAAUGGGUAAAGAAGCACCGGCUAACUACGUG
Molecule: ribosomal RNA, 468 nt
Filed under: uncultured bacterium
Lineage: Bacteria
Description: partial 16S ribosomal RNA
Rfam family: Bacterial small subunit ribosomal RNA
Source: RNAcentral